AAGCUCGUAGUUGAAUUUCGGGAUUAGUACGUCGGUCGUGCCUUAGGUACGUACUGGUGUUACUGGUUUCUACCUUCUGACGAACCAUCAUGUCAUUAAUUUGGUGUGGUGGGGAAUCAGGACUGUUACUUUGAAAAAAUUAGAGUGUUUAAAGCAGGCUCGCGCUUGAAUACAUUAGCAUGGAAUAAUGAAAUAGGACGUUGAUCCUAUUUUGUUGGUUUCUAGGAUUGACGUAAUGAUUAAUGGGAUAGUUGGG
RNAcentral lists this ribosomal RNA (256 nucleotides) under uncultured Glomus. RNAcentral's name for it is "partial 18S ribosomal RNA". It matches the Rfam family "Eukaryotic small subunit ribosomal RNA", at positions 624 to 885 of the family's 1831-position model. Lineage: Eukaryota; Fungi; Glomeromycota; Glomeromycetes; Glomerales; Glomeraceae. The record is from RNAcentral.